Molecule: long non-coding RNA, 230 nt
Filed under: Lathyrus oleraceus (garden pea)
Lineage: Eukaryota; Viridiplantae; Streptophyta; Magnoliopsida; Fabales; Fabaceae
Description: Pisum sativum (pea) long non-coding RNA (PSAT_LNC016164)
Source: RNAcentral
GAAGUAUCCCUUGUGGAUAGUUUACUGUAUUGGCAUAUUCCCCAAUACAUGCAUUUUUGCUUCAGCUCGAGUCCUUCAAUUGAUUUAUUUUUACGGAAUCCCUUCGUGUCUCCCAGCAAGUUUCAAGUCGUGACCUGCUCACGCAUUUUUACCCUUAUUUCUCCCCCAGAGUCUCUAUCCCAUUUAUGAGUGAAUUACUCCUAUUGGAUUUUCAGUUUCUCCUAAUUUCU